RNAcentral lists this ribosomal RNA (863 nucleotides) under uncultured crenarchaeote. Its description in RNAcentral is "bacterial SSU rRNA". It matches the Rfam family "Archaeal small subunit ribosomal RNA", at positions 477 to 1338 of the family's 1478-position model. The record is from RNAcentral. Lineage: Archaea; Thermoproteati; Thermoproteota.
CAGCACCUCAAGUGGUCAGGAUGAUUAUUGGGCCUAAAGCAUCCGUAGCCGGCUUUGUAAGUUUUCGGUUAAAUCCAUGUGCUCAACGCAUGGGCUGCCGAAAAUACUGCAUGGCUAGGGAGUGGGAGAGGUAGACGGUACUCAGUAGGAAGGGGUAAAAUCCUUUGAUCUAUUGAUGACCACCUGUGGCGAAGGCGGUCUACCAGAACACGUUCGACGGUGAGGGAUGAAAGCUGGGGGAGCAAACCGGAUUAGAUACCCGGGUAGUCCCAGCUGUAAACGAUGCAGACUCGAUGAUGCAUUGGCAUAAUAGCCAGUGCAGUGUCGCAGGGAAGCCGUUAAGUCUGCCGCCUGGGAAGUACGUACGCAAGUAUGAAACUUAAAGGAAUUGGCGGGGGAGCACCACAAGGGGUGAAGCCUGCGGUUCAAUUGGAGUCAACGCCAGAAAUCUUACCCGGAGAGACAGCAGAAUGAAGGUCAAGCUGAAGACUUUACCAGACAAGCUGAGAGGUGGUGCAUGGCCGUCGCCAGCUCGUGCCGUGAGAUGUCCUGUUAAGUCAGGUAACGAGCGAGAUCCCUGCCACUAGUUGCUAUCAUUAUUCUCAGGAAUAGUGGGGCGAAUUAGUGGGACUGCCGUUGUUAAAACGGAGGAAGGAAGGGGCUACGGCAGGUCAGUAUGCCCCGAAACUCUGGGGCCACACGCGGGCUGCAAUGGUAGUGACAAUGAGUUCCAAACUCGAAAGAGAGUGGCAAUCUCUAAACGCUACCACAGUUAUGACUGAGGGCUGUAACUCGCCCUCACGAAUAUGGGAUCCCUAGUAACCGCGUGUCAUUACCGCGCGGUGAAUACGUCCCUGCUCCUU